Non-coding RNA from Aspergillus candidus, 101 nucleotides. NCBI's taxonomy places the organism in Eukaryota, Fungi, Ascomycota, Eurotiomycetes, Eurotiales, Aspergillaceae. The record is from the annotation of a RefSeq genome assembly.
GCCUCUGUGGCGCAAUCGGUAGCGCGCUUGACUUCUACAACACUAGAAUGGGUGCAGAAGUUGCUAUCAAGAGGCUCUGGGUUCGAGUCCCAGUAGAGGCU